RNAcentral lists this ribosomal RNA (440 nucleotides) under uncultured bacterium. RNAcentral describes it as "partial 16S ribosomal RNA". It matches the Rfam family "Bacterial small subunit ribosomal RNA", at positions 338 to 795 of the family's 1533-position model. The record is from RNAcentral.
CCUACGGGCGACAGCAGUGGGGAAUAUUGCACAAUGGGGGAAACCCUGAUGCAGCAACGCCGCGUGAGUGAAGAAGUAUUUCGGUAUGUAAAGCUCUAUCAGCAGGGAAGAAGAUGACGGUACCUGAGUACGAAGCCCCGGCUAACUACGUGCCAGCAGCCGCGGUAAUACGUAGGGGGCAAGCGUUAUCCGGAUUUACUGGGUGUAAAGGGAGCGUAGACGGUGAGACAAGUCUGAAGUGAAAGCCCGGGGCUCAACCCCGGGACUGCUUUGGAAACUGCCUGACUGGAGUGCGGGAGAGGCAAGCGGAAUUCCUAGUGUAGCGGUGAAAUGCAUAGAUAUUAGGAAGAACACCAGUGGCGAAGGCGGCUUGCUGGACAGUAACUGACGUUGAGGCUCGAAAGCGUGGGGAGCGAACAGGAUUAGAUACCCGUGUAGUC